RNAcentral lists this long non-coding RNA (694 nucleotides) under Citrus sinensis (sweet orange). Its description in RNAcentral is "long non-coding RNA (CSIN_LNC002093)". Lineage: Eukaryota; Viridiplantae; Streptophyta; Magnoliopsida; Sapindales; Rutaceae. The record is from RNAcentral.
UGUGUGAGAUGAGUCUUUCCACCAAGCUACGGCUGAAAUCCUCCCUGACAACCACCCGAAGAACCGCCACAUUUUCAGCAUUAGCAGGCAUUGUAUAGGCCGGAACUAUCCACCCAAACUUUCUCAAACCCUCGGAUAUCUCAAACACGGUGUGUGCGCUGCUGUCCUUCAAAGAAAAGGCUACUAAGGGUACGCCAACAUCCUUGGAGAGAAUUUCAAAGCGCCCUGUUUUCUCUAAUCCUUCUCUUAGCGCUCUAGCAUUCCCCAUGCAAUUUUCCAUAAUGUUCUUGUAACCCUAGUUUACAGGACAAGAAAAGGACAUACCUUGAGACUUGAAAUAAAAGUAAAGGUAAUUUCCUGGACAAAUACAGGCCAAAUUGUACAUUUUAUUGAAUAUAUGAGCAGUCAGAAUCAUUUCAAAUCUAGCAAACACUAGUCAGUUUAAUAUCCAAAAAACAUGAGACAACAAGAAAAUUGAUCCCAUCACAACUGAUCGAUUUUGGUGCAUCAGUUCUCAACCUCAUUUUGUCAAUGUCUACCGGUAACAAACUAACUUUAACUGAUGAACUUUAACAAUAUGCCAUAUGAACACUUACAAAUUAACAGGAUUUCAUAGUACAUGCAAAGUGUCAUAAAAGUAGGAGGAAUGUAUCACAAAGAAACUUGAGAGUUUUUUAUGAUCAACACAACAAAA